Molecule: transfer RNA, 69 nt
Filed under: Rhinopomastus cyanomelas (common scimitar-bill)
Lineage: Eukaryota; Metazoa; Chordata; Aves; Bucerotiformes; Rhinopomastidae
Description: tRNA-Val
Source: RNAcentral
CAAGACGUAGCUAACACAAAGCAUUCAGCUUACACCUGAAAGACACCCUAACUGCCAGGGUCGUCUUGA